This 331-nucleotide ribosomal RNA is filed under the name uncultured eukaryote. RNAcentral's name for it is "partial 18S ribosomal RNA". It matches the Rfam family "Eukaryotic small subunit ribosomal RNA", at positions 1470 to 1796 of the family's 1831-position model. The record is from RNAcentral.
CCCUUAGAUGUUCUGGGCUGCACGCGCGCUACACUGAUGCACUCAACGAGUUUACGAGCUUGUCCGAGAGGAUUGGCUAAUCUUUUUAAAAUGCAUCGUGAUGGGGAUAGAUUAUUGCAAUUAUUAAUCUUCAACGAGGAAUUCCUAGUAAGCGCGAGUCAUCAGCUCGUGCUGAUUACGUCCCUGCCCUUUGUACACACCGCCCGUCGCUCCUACCGAUUGAAUGGUCCGGUGAAAUGUUCGGACCGCGACAAGGCGGACGGUUCGCUGUCAGCUUUGCUGCGGGAAGUUCAUUAAACCUUAUCAUUUAGAGGAAGGAGAAGUCGUAACA